RNAcentral lists this ribosomal RNA (253 nucleotides) under uncultured bacterium. RNAcentral describes it as "partial 16S ribosomal RNA". It matches the Rfam family "Bacterial small subunit ribosomal RNA", at positions 524 to 776 of the family's 1533-position model. The record is from RNAcentral.
UACGGAGGGUGCAAGCGUUAAUCGGAAUUACUGGGCGUAAAGCGCACGUAGGUGGUUUGUUAAGCCAGCUGUGAAAUCCCCGGGCUCAACCUGGGAACUGCGUCCGAUACUGGAUGGCUUGAAUCCGGGAGAGGGAUGCAGAAUUCCAGGUGUAGCGGUGAAAUGCGUAGAUAUCUGGAGGAAUACCGGUGGCGAAGGCGGCAUCCUGGACCGGCAUUGACGCUGAGGAGCGAAAGCCAGGGGAGCAAACGGG